GCCUUCGGGUACAAUUGAGACAGGUGGUGCAUGGUUGUCGUCAGCUCGUGUCGUGAGAUGUUGGGUUAAGUCCCGCAACGAGCGCAACCCUUGUGUUUAGUUGCAAACAGGUCAAGCUGUGCACUCUAGACAGACUGCCGUGGACAACACGGAGGAAGGUGGGGAUGACGUCAAAUCAUCAUGCCCCUUAUGAUCUGGGCUACACACGUGCUACAAUGGCCGGUACAACGGGCAGCGAAGGAGCGAUCCGGAGCGAAUCCUAAAAAGCCGGUCCCAGUUCGGAUUGCAGGCUGAAACUCGCCUACAUGAAGUUGGAGUUGCUAGUAAUCGCGAAUCAGAAUGUCGCGGUGAAUGCGUUCCCGGGUCUU
RNAcentral lists this ribosomal RNA (368 nucleotides) under uncultured Fusibacter sp. Its description in RNAcentral is "bacterial SSU rRNA". It matches the Rfam family "Bacterial small subunit ribosomal RNA", at positions 1016 to 1382 of the family's 1533-position model. The record is from RNAcentral. Lineage: Bacteria; Bacillati; Bacillota; Clostridia; Eubacteriales; Fusibacteraceae.